RNAcentral lists this ribosomal RNA (436 nucleotides) under Acidobacteria bacterium UCL-028. RNAcentral describes it as "bacterial SSU rRNA". It matches the Rfam family "Bacterial small subunit ribosomal RNA", at positions 32 to 499 of the family's 1533-position model. The record is from RNAcentral. Lineage: Bacteria; Pseudomonadati; Acidobacteriota.
AACGCUGGCGGCGUGCCUAACACAUGCAAGUCGCACGAGAAAGGCGAUUUCGGUCCUGAGUAAAGUGGCGCACGGGUGAGUAACACGUGACUAAUCUACCCUCGAGUGGGGAAUAACCUAGGGAAACCUGGGCUAAUACCGCAUAACACUUACGAGUCAAAGCAGCAAUGCGCUUGGGGAGGAGGUCGCGGCAGAUUAGCUAGUUGGCGGGGUAAUGGCCCACCAAGGCGAUGAUCUGUAUCCGGCCUGAGAGGGCGCACGGACACACUGGAACUGAAACACGGUCCAGACUCCUACGGGAGGCAGCAGUGGGGAAUUUUGCGCAAUGGGGGAAACCCUGACGCAGCAACGCCGCGUGGAGGAUGAAGUCUCUUGGGACGUAAACUCCUUUCGAUAGGGACGAUAAUGACGGUACCUAUAGAAGAAGCCCCGGCUA